UUUCUUGACUCCAACGGCUCUAUUUUUGUCUCUAACGGCUAGAUUUUUGUUUCCACGCCAUCUAAAGCUAUAAAAUCAAGAGGAGAGCUAGGGUAGAAGGUAUGAAAGUGGGAGAGAACAUUUAGGGAAGAGAUUUCAAAGAGAUUAUAAGAAAAAUCUUCCAAAAGCACAAAAGGGCCAUUCAAAGUAAAAGAGAGAG
This 199-nucleotide long non-coding RNA is filed under the name Phoenix dactylifera (date palm). Its description in RNAcentral is "long non-coding RNA (PDAC_LNC010607)". Lineage: Eukaryota; Viridiplantae; Streptophyta; Magnoliopsida; Arecales; Arecaceae. The record is from RNAcentral.